UGCAAGUCGAGCGGAACGAUCCCAGCUUGCUGGGAGGCGUCGAGCGGCGGACGGGUGAGUAAUGCAUAGGAAUCUGCCCGAUAGUGGGGGAUAACCUGAGGAAACUCAGGCUAAUACCGCAUACGUCCUACGGGAGAAAGCAGGGGCUCUUCGGACCUUGCGCUAUCGGAUGAGCUUAUGUCGGAUUAGCUGGUUGGUGAGGUAACGGCUCACCAAGGCGACGAUCCGUAGCUGGUCUGAGAGGAUGAUCAGCCACAUCGGGACUGAGACACGGCCCGAACUCCUACGGGAGGCAGCAGUGGGGAAUUUUGGACAAUGGGGGCAACCCUGAUCCAGCCAUGCCGGGUGUGUGAAGAAGGCCCUCGGGUUGUAAAGCACUUUCAGUGAGGAAGAAUGCUUGUCGGUUAAUACCCGGCAAGGGAGACAUCACUCACAGAAGAAGCACCGGCUAACUCCGUGCCAGCAGCGCGCGGUUAUACGAGAGGGUGCGAGCGUUAAUCAGAAUUACUGGGCGUAAAGCGCGCGUACGCGGCUUGAUAAGCCGGUUGUGAAAGCCCCGCGCUCAACCUGGGAACGGCCUCCGGAACUGUCAUGCUAGAGUGCAGGAGAGGAAGGUAUAAUUCCCGGUGUAGCGGAGAAAUGCGUAAAGAUCGGGAGGAAUACCAGUGGCGAAGGCGGCCUUCUGGACUGACACUGACGCUGACGUGCGAAAGCGUGGGUAACAAACAGAGAUUACAUACCCUGGUAGUCCACGCCGUAAACGAUGUCGACUAUCCGUUGCGUGUCCUCCACACCUUGUGUGGCGCACUUAACGCACUAACUCGCACCGCCUGGAGAGUACGGACGUCUAAGACUAAAACUCAUAUGAAUUUG
RNAcentral lists this ribosomal RNA (873 nucleotides) under Halomonas caseinilytica. Its description in RNAcentral is "bacterial SSU rRNA". It matches the Rfam family "Bacterial small subunit ribosomal RNA", at positions 56 to 913 of the family's 1533-position model. Lineage: Bacteria; Pseudomonadati; Pseudomonadota; Gammaproteobacteria; Oceanospirillales; Halomonadaceae. The record is from RNAcentral.